Molecule: ribosomal RNA, 459 nt
Filed under: uncultured bacterium
Lineage: Bacteria
Description: partial 16S ribosomal RNA
Rfam family: Bacterial small subunit ribosomal RNA
Source: RNAcentral
CCUACGGGAGGCAGCAGUGAGGAAUCUUGGUCAAUGGCCGGAAGGCUGAACCAGCCAAGCCGCGUGAAGGACGAAGGUGCCAAGCAUUGUAAACUUCUUUUGUCAAGGGACAAAAUCAGGCUCGAGAGCCUGACCGAGGGUACUUGAAGAAAAAGCAUCGGCUAACUCCGUGCCAGCAGCCGCGGUAAUACGGAGGGUGCGAGCGUUAUCCGGAUUUAUUGGGUUUAAAGGGUGCGUAGGCGGGCUGUUAAGUCAGCGGGAAAAGCCCGGGGCUCAACCCCGGCGAGCCGUUGAAACUGGCUGUCUUGAGAUGUCGAGAGGUAUGCGGAAUGCGCAGUGUAGCGGUGAAAUGCUUAGAUAUUGCGCAGAACUCCGAUUGCGAAGGCAGCAUACCGGCGGCGAUCUGACGCUGAGGCACGAAAGCGUUGGUAUCGAACAGGAUUAGAUACCCGGGUAGUC